Molecule: ribosomal RNA, 508 nt
Filed under: uncultured bacterium
Lineage: Bacteria
Description: partial 16S ribosomal RNA
Rfam family: Bacterial small subunit ribosomal RNA
Source: RNAcentral
GAUGAACGCUAGCUACAGGCUUAACACAUGCAAGUCGAGGGGAAACGAUAUUGGAAGCUUGCUUCCGAUAGGCGUCGACCGGCGCACGGGUGAGUAACGCGUAUCCAACCUGCCCAUCACCUGGGGAUAACCUUGCGAAAGUAAGACUAAUACCCAAUGAUAUCUCUAGAAGACAUCUGAAGGAGACUAAAGAUUCAUCGGUGAUGGAUGGGGAUGCGUCUGAUUAGCUUGUUGGCGGGGUAACGGCCCACCAAGGCGACGAUCAGUAGGGGUUCUGAGAGGAAGGUCCCCCACAUUGGAACUGAGACACGGUCCAAACUCCUACGGGAGGCAGCAGUGAGGAAUAUUGGUCAAUGGACGAGAGUCUGAACCAGCCAAGUAGCGUGCAGGAUGACGGCCCUAUGGGUUGUAAACUGCUUUUAUAAGGGAAUAAAGUGAGUCUCGUGAGACUUUUUGCAUGUACCUUAUGAAUAAGGACCGGCUAAUUCCGUGCCAGCCGCCGCGGUAA